CACACGAGCGUCGCUAGUCGAACGUUUAUCCAGCCAACUUCGUUCUAAACCGUGGUGUUCGAAAAGUAAUUUUGUUUUCUUACACGAGUGUCACUCAUCGAACGUUCAUCCAGUCAACUUCGUUCUAAACCGUGGUGUUCGAAAAGUAAUUUUGUUUUCUUACACGAGUGUCACUCAUCGAACGUUUAUCCAGCCAACUUCGUUGUAAACUGUAUUGGUAUCGUAUAUUUUGUGAAUUGGUAUUUCAUGGUUUAUUUAUAAGAAAAAGUCAUUCGAUUCUGUGUUUCUUGUGUUUUUCGUGCAUGAUAACAAAGAUGCGAACAUUUUUUACUGUUUUGUUAUCGAAAAGAAUGUUGUUUAAACAGAAAAAAAAUUAUGAAGUUUAUGAAGAAGGCGUAUUAUGCGCCUUGUUAAAGAUAUAUUUUGAAACUCGAAACCGACGAAGACAAAAUAAAGAGACACCGAUCGAAACAAACCGACGAACUCGAGAGAUUGCUAUGAGAUUGAAUUUGUCUAAUUCGGGUGUUCAUGAUCGCGUGAAACGACUUGGUGUUUCUUCUUCGUGAAAAAAUAAAAUUACUUUCUGAACGAUAAGCAAGUUCGGUUACAUUUACUGAAAAUGAUUGGAUUCGAAGAAGUGAUUGGAUACCGAUGUUUGCUCUCAAGGGAUUAAGAGAGUUUCACCUCUUCCCCUUCAAAUACAGUAGAAUGUGUUCUGGCCUGUGCUCACGCCUCCGUCUUCGGGACAAUCGAAAGAAAAGGAAGAGGCAAGGAGGAAAUAAGAGGGGAAACAGGUUUCAGCGAGAGUGCACCCGGCACGUGUUACGUUACAUGGAACCGUGCGAUUGUUUCCCCAAUUCCGGUUCAACUCGUGCUCGAAUCCAUGGACAAACAUCUCUUGACGAGCGGAAAGGCGUUUCUAUCGGAAAGGAUCCCUCUCUCUUAUUUACAACGCAAAGAGAAUCUCGAUUUAAACGAAAAUACAACAACAAUGGCUAUUCACUUCACAAGCAAGCGAUCACAAAGACGUUGACCAGUGAUGGGGAAAAUUUAAUAGUCCAAGUUACUUCGAUAAUUUAUUAUUCAAAACAUAAUAAUAUUCGCGAAUAAUUGUUAAAUGAAUAAAUAAUUAUUCGAGUAUUUUAUUCUAAAUUUUUAAGCUAUUACUUUUUCAAGUAAUCCAACUUUAAUCUUGACGCGAUUUUCCAGAACUGGACAUUAAUUCCUAAGUUGAAAAAAAUAAAAAAUUUCGAAUGAAAUUACUUCAAGUGCUAUAAUUGUUAUUAUAUUUUAAACGAUAUGAAAAUAAUGAUUGGAGGAAAAAUCAAAGGCCAGGACAGUUUUCUAGACCAGAUUAGAAAUAAAAUGGAAUUCAGCAACGACGUACAGUUUACAGGCUACAGAGUCUUCAAUCAAAGUCAAUUAAAGAGAGAAAGAGAGAAGAAAAUCUGCUCCUGUGGCGAAAAUUCACGGCUGAUAAGGGGGUCGAGAUUCGAGGAAUGAAUGAAAUUUGAAAAAAGAGAAGGAAAAACUUUAUUAUCCGAAAAGAAUAAUCGAGGAUAGACGGGACGCGACUUGGAAAAUUACACCCUACUUCCAUUAUCAAGAAUUAUCAAGAAAUUUCUCUCCAUCCAAUUUCAAGAGAACAAUCAUUUAUUUGAUACUACACGAUUAUUAUCAUAUUCCUGCUCAUUUGACGAAUGUCGAAGACGACAGAGUGAAGGACUACUUAUCAAGAAUUAUCAAGAAAUUUCUCUCCAUCCAAUUUCAAGAAAACAAUCAUUUAUUUGAUACUACACGAUUAUUAUCAUAUUUCUGCUCAUUUGACGAAUGUCGAAGACGACAGAGUGAAGGAAAAUGCAAGCGAAUUCAGUUGAUGGAAAGAAAUAAUUUUUCGAACGAAACGUUAAAUUCGUUAAACAUUAGAAUCAAAAUAAUUCUAACGUUUUAUUUCUUAUCAAUAUAAGCUACUUUUAUUAUCAAGAAUUAUCCAAAGGAAUAUCCACACCGAAAUUUCUCUCCAAUUCCAGAGAACAAUCAUUUAUUUGAUACUUGAUUAUUAUCAUAUUCCUGCUCAUUUGACGAAUGUCGAAGACGAUAGAGUGAAGGAAAAUACAUUAUUAAUUUAAUUUUAAUAAUCGAUCAUCCUCAGAACGUGAUUAAUUUGAUAAAUGAAAAUAAUCUUUAAAUAUUUUGUUUCAGCUACUUAUCAAGAAUUAUCAAGAAAUUUCUCUCCAUCCAAUUUCAAGAAAACAAUCAUUUAUUUGAUACUACACGAUUAUUAUCAUAUUCCUGCUCAUUUGACGAAUGUCGAAGACGACAGAGUGAAGAAAAAUGCAAGCGGUAUAUUGCAAAACCUUGCUUGUAAUUCGUACGUGUAAAAGUGAUUAUACCGGAUAAUAGAGACGACAAUUGAGGAAACGUUCCACGUUCCACGUUCCUUUGCAUAAGUAGCGUAACGCGAUUAUCGCGGGGCAAUCGUUUCUGGACCGCGAUACCGUUAUUUAUACCGGUAAAAAAACCUCGACCCACCUCGUGGAUAUUAGCUCGAGGGUAAAAACACACGCCACCAGAAUCCUGUUGUUUUUAAACGAGUUCACGCUUGGAAAUACCUACUUAACCGUAUUCGCAUAAUCUCGGGUAAGAACGGAUUGAACCUGAGUCGGUUUCGUUGUAAAAAUGUAAUGAAGCCACUGGGUAAUAAAAUUUAAAUAGGGAGAGAGAGAGAGAGAGAGAGAGAGAGAUCGGAGAUUACCGUACUCUGCUACUUUAACUUCCGAUAAGAAGGAGAAAAGGUUCUAGGAAGCAAUCGCUCACCUGUACCCCGGCAAUCGUACACCUGUAAAUGAACACCCACUAUCGCUAAACCAAUCGUUGUUUGGCCAAUUUUACGAGACCCUUUCUACUCCACCUCUGGAGAUAUCGAUUACCGAUCGUAUCUCCACAGGUUUUCUUCUAAUUCUAAAAAAAAAAAAAAAAAAGAAAAAGAAAAAGAAAGAAAUAAAAAACGAAGAACCGGACACUUUUCCGCAAGCCUCACCGACCUUUACUCGAGGGAAAUCGUAGUGGAUACGGAGAAUUGGAGAAUCAACUUUUAGAAAGGAUAGCGAAGCGGUAAGUUUCGGAUUUCUCCUCGAAAUUCUCCUCGAGACGAGAAGCGAGUUCGAUUGUUUUACUUUACCGCGUAAUUGCCACGCCUCGCCGCCGUGUAAUCUUUUAACCGAAGCCAAUUAACGAUGAACAAACGAUUAUCGAACCUAUUAUCUCAAAUUUAUAUAUCGGAUAGUGUGGUAAUUAGUUCCGGGAAUUAUUUAACGGGUAACGCUUUUUUUUUUACUUCUGUGUCGAAAAUUAUAUCGUGGAAAGAGAGAGAGAGAAAGAGAGAGAGAAACGGCGAAAGGAGAUGGACGACUGGUAAUGAAAACCAAGAGGAAACCAGCCCUUACCGUUUGAACACCAAUUUGCAUAUUCUAUUGACCUUCUCGUGGUUCGCUAGUUCUGUUAUUGGCGUAACUUUGCCUUUCAAACCGCUCCUAAUAUCAUAGCUAUUCUGCCCAACUUCCACUCUUGAACGUUAUCCCGAUAGGCGGGCGCGAGUGUCCCUCCACGAGUUAACGUACGCUUACAUACACGCGUCUCACCCUCCGCGCACCUCUUUAUUACGUUCAACCUCGAUUAUCGGAAUACCGUUUAACCGAACGCUCGAUUAUCCAAACAUCGACGUUCAACAUCGACGAAAGUUGGCGAAAGAUGGCCUACCUAUCGUACGAAUUAUAUUAACGCCAACGAUCGCGUGAUAAUUUUUUUUUUUCUUACGUCACUCACGGUGACGCGGUUCGUCGAUAAUUCCCUUAUUUUGAAUUUUCAGCUGGUAACUCGAUCACCAUUAAAUUUUAACUGUUGCGGAAUUUCCACUUCCCUCUUUCCCCUGUAUAUACCAGUUUAAGAUAUUGUUACAAUCAAGCCGGAUUCAAGCUGAUCCUCCCUAUAACGCAAGAAAUUUCAGCUUAGAUUGAAUCGAGUAUAAAUGAAUACACGGUGCGAUUACACGAACGCGGUGUAAUCAGGGGACAGUUUGGGAAAGUUUGGAUUAGUCAUCCUUGUUCUCACGAUUAUUACAAGUAUACGCUUCUCUCUUGUCCUUGGCUCGGCGAAGAAAUAUCAAAUUGUCUCGUGUUUUUCAUCAAAGUGUAGAAGAAGCGUCUACGUUUGUCAUUUGGAAAAAUUAAUGUAUAGAUUAAAAGAAAUUAUAUAAUUGCGUAUAGGUUAAAUCAUUUUCCUGUUACGAAACUGUUUGACCUACUAACGUAAUAUUUGCUAACUGUAUAACCGAUAGGGCGGUGUUACGCAAUACGUAUAUCAACUUUGGAAAAGAAGCACGGCAAAAGUUGAGGCCGCUAGCGUGCAAUGAAUAAAUAAUAGUACGCCGAAGAAAUUAUGAUUCUGAUAAGCAUCAAAGAUAAAAUAAAAUGGAACAUUAAUAACUAUUCCAUUAUUCUCCUGAGAAUAUUAAUCCUGUUAUAAAUAAAGUGCAUUAUUAUAA
Molecule: long non-coding RNA, 4543 nt
Organism: Apis mellifera (honey bee)
Lineage: Eukaryota; Metazoa; Arthropoda; Insecta; Hymenoptera; Apidae
Exons: 7
Source: RefSeq, a predicted model, not a curated record